GUUUUUUUUCCCCCCAAAAUCCAUCAGAAAUUCGGGUUUUUUUUCCCCAAAAUCCUCCUGAAAUUUGAGUUUUUUUCCCCAAAAUCCUCCUGAAAUUUCGUUUUUAUUCACCAAAAAAACCUCCUAAAAUUUGGGGUUUUUUCCCCCAAAAACCUCCUGAAAUUUGGGGUUUUUUCCCCCAAAAUCCAUCAGAAAUUCCGGUUUUUUUUCCCCAAAAUCCAUCAGAAAUUCAGAUUUUUUUCCCCCAAAAAACCUCCUGAAAUUCAGGUUUUUUUCACCCAAAAUCCUCCUAAAAUUUGGGGUUUUUUAACCCAAAAUCCUCCUGAAAUUUGGGGUUUUUUUCCCCCAAAAUCCAUCAGAAAUUCAGGUUUUUUUCCCCCCAAAAACCUCCUGAAAUUUGGGGUUUUUUCCCCCAAAAUCCUCCUGAAAUUUCGUUUUUAUUCACCCAAAAAACCUCCUAAAAUUUGGGUUUUUUUCACCCAAAAUCCUCCUGAAAUUUGGGGUUUUUUUCACCCAAAAUUCUCCUGAAAUUUGGGGUUUUUUUCCCCAAAAUCCUCCUGAAAUUUCGUUUUUUUUUCACCCAAAAACCUCCUAAAAUUUUGGGGUUUUUUCCCCAAAAAACCUCCUGAAAUUUGGGGUUUUUUCACCCAAAAAACCUCCUGAAAUUCGUUUUUUAUUCACCCAAAAUCCUCCUGAAAUUCGGGGUUUUUUCCCCCAGAAUCAAUCAGAAAUUCGGUUUUUUUCCCCCAAAAUCCUCCUAAAAUUUGGGGUUUUUUCACCCAAAAUCCUCCUGAAAUUCGGUUUUUUUUCCCCCAAAAACCUCCUGAAAUUUGGUUUUUUUUCACCCAAAAUCAUCCUGAAAUUUGGGGGUUUUUUCCCCAAAAAACCUCCUAAAAUUUGGGUUUUUUUCCCCAAAAACCUCCUAAAAUUUGGGGUUUUUUUUCCCCCAAAAUCCUCCUGAAAUUUCGUUUUUUUUUCACCCAAAAUCCUCCUGAAAUUUGGGGUUUUUUUCCCCAAAAUCCAUCAGAAAUUCGGUUUUUUUCACCCAAACUCCUCCUAAAAUUUUGGUUUUUUUCACCCAAAAACCUCCUGAAAUUUGGGUUUUUUUCACCCAAAAUCCUCCUGAUAUUUGGGGUUUUUUUCCCCCAAAAUUUGGGUUUUUUUCCCCCAAAAUCCUUCAGAAAUUUGGGGUUUUUUCCCCCAAAACCACCAAAUCACCAUUAUUUUCCACACAUGCACCAUUUUAACCAAAAUUCACUUUUUUUCCUUUUUUUCCCCCAAUCCCACCCUAUAAAAAUUCCCAUUUUCACCUCAUUUUUCCACCAUUUUUCACCAAAAAACCACCUCGAAAUUUCAAUUUUCAGCCCCUAAAUUCCAUUUUUUUGGGGGGUUUUCCCCCACCCAGGAAAAAUGGGGGGAAAAUUCAAUUUUUAUUUUCAUUUUCUGCCUUUUUUUUGGGGUCAAAACCUCGAAUUUUGGGACUUACCACCGAAUUUAUUGAAGCCACCACGCUCACCACCGCUGAGGAGAUAAAUGGGAAGAUAAUCAGGAAUUUUGGAAGCCCUGCCUUAAAAACUGGGGACAAAAAAUCACAAUUUUUGACCUUUUUUUCGGCCAUUUUGGGGCUU
Molecule: long non-coding RNA, 1628 nt
Filed under: Zonotrichia albicollis (white-throated sparrow)
Lineage: Eukaryota; Metazoa; Chordata; Aves; Passeriformes; Passerellidae
Description: lncRNA (ENSZALG00000001549.1)
Source: RNAcentral